AUUGAACGCUGGCGGCAUGCCUUACACAUGCAAGUCGAACGGUAACAGGUCUUCGGAUGCUGACGAGUGGCGGACGGGUGCGUAAUACAUCGGAACGUGCCCGAUCGUGGGGGAUAACGAGGCGAAAGCUUUGCUAAUACCGCAUACGAUCUACGGCUGAAAGCGGGGGAUCUUCGGACCUCGCGCGGCCGGAGCGGCCGAUGGCAGAUUAGGUAGUUGGUGGGAUAAAAGCUUACCAAGCCGACGAUCUGUAGCUGGUCUGAGAGGAUGAUCAGCCACACUGGGACUGAGACACGGCCCAGACUCCUACGGGAGGCAGCAGUGGGGAAUUUUGGACAAUGGGCGAAAGCCUGAUCCGGCCAUGCCGCGUGCAGGAUGAAGGCCUUCGGGUUGUAAACUGCUUUUGUACGGAACGAAAAGCCUCUUUCUAAUAAAGAGGGGUCAUGACGGUACCGUAAGAAUAAGCACCGGCUAACUACGUG
Molecule: ribosomal RNA, 482 nt
Filed under: uncultured bacterium
Lineage: Bacteria
Description: partial 16S ribosomal RNA
Rfam family: Bacterial small subunit ribosomal RNA
Source: RNAcentral